RNAcentral lists this ribosomal RNA (1933 nucleotides) under human metagenome. RNAcentral describes it as "bacterial LSU rRNA". It matches the Rfam family "Bacterial large subunit ribosomal RNA", at positions 803 to 2822 of the family's 2925-position model. The record is from RNAcentral.
GAUGAACUGUGGGUAGCGGAGAAAUUCCAAUCGAACCCGGAGAUAGCUGGUUCUCCCCGAAAUAGUUUUAGGACUAGCCUCAAGUUAGAUACCUGGAGGUAAAGCACUGAAUAGCCUAGCGGCCGAGAGGUUAGCGAAGCUUAUCAAACUCAGAAUGCCAGAGUAUUGAUGCUUGGGAGUCAGACAGUGUCAGAUAAAUGUCAUUGUCAAAAGGGAAACAGCCCAGAUCUACAGCUAAGGUCCCAAAGUCAGGUUAAGUGGAAAACGAUGUGAAGAUACGUAGACAACCAGGAUGUUGGCUCAGAAGCAGCCACACAUUCAAAGAGUGCGUAAUAGCUCACUGGUCGAGCGUCUUUGCGCGGAGAAUUUAACGGGGCUAAACCUGACACCGAAGCUUAGGCAAUACAGCAAUGUAUUGGGUAGGGGAGCGUUGUAUACGCGGAGAAACAGUAGCGCAAGCGGCUGUGGAGUGUAUAGAAGUGAGAAUGCCGGAAUGAGUAGCGCGAAUGCAGUGAGAAUCUGCAUGGCCGAAAGCCUCAGGUUUUUGGAGGAAGGUUCGUCCGCUCCAAGUUAGUCGGGAGCUAAGGUGAGGCCGAAAGGCGUAGCCGAUGCACAGACGGUAGAGAUUCCGUCACCACCAAAAGAGUUAAGCACAGGGACACAUAUGAAGUCUCAGAGCCGGGUGUUGGUUCCGGUAGAGAUCGAGGGAAGUUAGUACCGAAGUCUGAGAUGGAAGAUGGCGAGAAAAGCUGUGUGUAUUUCUGAGGUGCCCGUACCGCAAACCGACACAGGUAGGUAGGAAGAAGAUUCUAAGGCCAACGGGAGAAGGGUUGUUAAGGAACUCGGCAAAUUGACCCCGUAACUUCGGGAGAAGGGGUGCUCCAGAGAUGGAGCCGCAGAGAAUCGGCCCAAGCAACUGUUUACCAAAAACACAGGUUUGUGCUAAAUCGAAAGAUGACGUAUACGAGCUGACGCCUGCCCGGUGCUGGAAGGUUAAGAGGAGAUGUGCAAGCAUUGAAUCGAAGCCCCAGUGAACGGCGGCCGUAACUAUAACGGUCCUAAGGUAGCGAAAUUCCUUGUCAGGUAAGUUCUGACCCGCACGAAUGGCGUAACGAUUUGGGCACUGUCUCAACAGCCCGCCCGGCGAAAUUGUAGUACCGGUGAAGAUGCCGGUUACCCGCGACAAGACGGAAAGACCCCAUGGAGCUUUACUGUAGCCUAAUAUUGGGUUUCGAUGUUGCAUGCACAGGAUAGAUGGGACUCUGGGAAACCAAGGCUUUGGCUUUGGCGGAGAGGCCGUUGGGAUACCAUCCUUGCGAUAUUGGAAUUCUAACCUGCGGCUCUGAAUCGAGUCGGGGGACAUUGUUAGGUGGGCAGUUUGACUGGGGCGGUCGCCUCCUAAAGAGUAACGGAGGCGUUCAAAGGUUCGCUCAGCUUGAACGGAAAUCAAGCAAAAGAGUGCAAACGCAGAAGCGAGCCUAACUGCGAGACUGACGGGUCGAGCAGUAACGAAAGUUGGAGUUAGUGAUCCGGUGGUAUGUGAGUGGAAAUGCCAUCGCUCAACGGAUAAAAGCUACCCUGGGGAUAACAGGCUGAUCUCCCCCAAGAGUCCACAUCGACGGGGAGGUUUGGCACCUCGAUGUCGGCUCAUCGCAUCCUGGGGCUGAAUUCGGUCCCAAGGGUUUGGCUGUUCGCCAAUUAAAGCGGUACGCGAGCUGGGUUCAGAACGUCGUGAGACAGUUCGGUCCCUAUCUGUCGUGGGCGCAGGAUAUUUGAUGGGAGCUGUCCCUAGUACGAGAGGACCGGGACGGACGUACCUCUGGCGCACCAGUUGUUCCGCCAGGAGCAUAGCUGGGCAACUACGUACGGAUCGGAUAAACGCUGAAAGCAUCUAAGCGUGAAGCCGACCCAAAGAUAAGAUAUCCCACUGAUU